AGUGAGGUCAGCUAACCAAGCUCUUGGGCCCAUACCCCAGACAUGUGGGUUGAACCCCCUCCCCCACUA
This 69-nucleotide transfer RNA is filed under the name Normichthys operosus (multipore searsid). RNAcentral's name for it is "tRNA-Met". Lineage: Eukaryota; Metazoa; Chordata; Actinopteri; Alepocephaliformes; Platytroctidae. The record is from RNAcentral.